RNAcentral lists this ribosomal RNA (429 nucleotides) under Gemmatimonadota bacterium. RNAcentral describes it as "Gemmatimonadetes bacterium partial 16S ribosomal RNA". It matches the Rfam family "Bacterial small subunit ribosomal RNA", at positions 355 to 776 of the family's 1533-position model. Lineage: Bacteria; Pseudomonadati; Gemmatimonadota. The record is from RNAcentral.
UAGGGAAUCUUCGGCAAUGGACGAAAGUCUGACCGAGCAACGCCGCGUGAGUGAAGAAGGUUUUCGGAUCGUAAAACUCUGUUGUUAGAGAAGAACAAGGACGUUAGUAACUGAACGUCCCCUGACGGUAUCUAACCAGAAAGCCACGGCUAACUACGUGCCAGCAGCCGCGGUAAUACGUAGGUGGCAAGCGUUGUCCGGAUUUAUUGGGCGUAAAGCGAGCGCAGGCGGUUUCUUAAGUCUGAUUUGAAAGCCCCCGGCUCAACCGGGGAGGGUCAUUGGAAACUGGGAGACUUGAGUGCAGAAGAGGAGAGUGGAAUUCCAUGUGUAGCGGUGAAAUGCGUAGAUAUAUGGAGGAACACCAGUGGCGAAGGCGGCUCUCUGGUCUGUAACUGACGCUGAGGCUCGAAAGCGUGGGGAGCAAACAGG